CUACGGGGUGCUGCAGUGGGGAAUAUUGGACAAUGGGGGAAACCCUGAUCUAGCCAUGCCGCGUGAGUGAUGAAGGCCUUAGGGUUGUAAAGCUCUUUCGCUGGGGAAGAUAAUGACGGUACCCAGUAAAGAAACCCCGGCUAACUCCGUGCCAGCAGCCGCGGUAAUACGGAGGGGGUUAGCGUUGUUCGGAAUUACUGGGCGUAAAGCGCGCGUAGGCGGGCUAUUAAGUCAGGGGUGAAAUCCCGGGGCUCAACCCCGGAACUGCCUUUGAUACUGGUAGUCUUGAGUUCGAGAGAGGUGAGUGGAAUUCCGAGUGUAGAGGUGAAAUUCGUAGAUAUUCGGAGGAGCAUCAGUGGCGAAGGCGACUCACUGGCUCGAUACUGACGCUGAGGUGCGAAAGUGUGGGGAGCAAACAGGAUUAGAUACCCGCGUAGUC
RNAcentral lists this ribosomal RNA (439 nucleotides) under uncultured bacterium. RNAcentral's name for it is "partial 16S ribosomal RNA". It matches the Rfam family "Bacterial small subunit ribosomal RNA", at positions 339 to 795 of the family's 1533-position model. The record is from RNAcentral.